This 377-nucleotide ribosomal RNA is filed under the name uncultured bacterium. Its description in RNAcentral is "bacterial SSU rRNA". It matches the Rfam family "Bacterial small subunit ribosomal RNA", at positions 521 to 896 of the family's 1533-position model. The record is from RNAcentral.
UAAUACGGAGGGUGCGAGCGUUGUCCGGAAUCACUGGGCGUAAAGGGCGCGUAGGCGGCCUGGUAAGUAGGGGGUGAAAUCCUGCGGCUUAACCGCAGGGCUGCCUUCUAAACUGUCAGGCUUGAGCACAGUAGAGGCAGGUGGAAUUCCCGGUGUAGCGGUGGAAUGCGUAGAGAUCGGGAAGAACAUCAGUGGCGAAGGCGGCCUGCUGGGCUGUUGCUGACGCUGAGGCGCGACAGCGUGGGGAGCAAACAGGAUUAGAUACCCUGGUAGUCCACGCCGUAAACGAUGGGCACUAGGUGUGGGGGGUGUCGACUCCCUCCGUGCCGAAGCUAACGCAUUAAGUGCCCCGCCUGGGGAGUACGGCCGCAAGGCUA